ACGCUCGACACCUACGGGAGGCAGCAGUGGGGAAUAUUGCACAAUGGGGGAAACCCUGAUGCAGCGACGCCGCGUGAGUGAAGAAGUAUUUCGGUAUGUAAAGCUCUAUCAGCAGGGAAGAAGAUGACGGUACCUGAGUAAGAAGCCCCGGCUAACUACGUGCCACAGCCGCGGUAAUCUGAGCGGCGUGGCAAGGC
Molecule: ribosomal RNA, 197 nt
Filed under: uncultured bacterium
Lineage: Bacteria
Description: partial 16S ribosomal RNA
Rfam family: Bacterial small subunit ribosomal RNA
Source: RNAcentral